GGGUGCAUGGUCUAGUGGUAUGAUUUCUGUUUUGCAAUGCCUCGGCACCCGGCUCUACAGACGGUCCCGCGUUCGAUCCGCGGUGCAUCCA
Molecule: non-coding RNA, 91 nt
Organism: Lasiosphaeria ovina
Lineage: Eukaryota; Fungi; Ascomycota; Sordariomycetes; Sordariales; Lasiosphaeriaceae
Source: the annotation of a GenBank genome assembly